This 589-nucleotide ribosomal RNA is filed under the name Lactobacillus acidophilus. RNAcentral's name for it is "bacterial SSU rRNA". It matches the Rfam family "Bacterial small subunit ribosomal RNA", at positions 891 to 1473 of the family's 1533-position model. Lineage: Bacteria; Bacillati; Bacillota; Bacilli; Lactobacillales; Lactobacillaceae. The record is from RNAcentral.
GGGUUGAGGCUCAAAAUUUAUUGUUUGGGGCCAGAACCAGCGAUGGAGCAUGAAAUUUAAUUCGAUGCAACGCGAAGAUCCUUACCAGGUCUUGACAUCUAGUGCAAUCCGUAGAGAUACGGAGUUCCCUUCGGGGACACUAAGACAGGUGGUGCAUGGCUGUGGUCAGCUCGUGUCGUGAGAUGUUGUAAUAAGUCCCGCAGCGAGCGCACACCUUGUCAUUAGUUGCCAGCAUUAAGUUGGGCACUCUAAUGAGACUGCCGGUGACAAACCGGAGGAAGGUGGGGAUGACGUCAAGUCAUCAUGCCCCUUAUGACCUGGGCUACACACGUGCUACAAUGGACAGUACAACGAGGAGCAAGCCUGCGAAGGCAAGCGAAUCUCUUAAAGCUGUUCUCAGUUCGGACUGCAGUCUGCAACUCGACUGCACGAAGCUGGAAUCGCUAGUAAUCGCGGAUCAGCACGCCGCGGUGAAUACGUUCCCGGGCCUUGUAUACACCGCCCGUCACACCAUGGGAGUCUGCAAUGCCCAAAGCCCUUAGAGUUUAUGUCGGUCACGCCCCGCGCCGCCGCCAUUGGUAGCCAGACC